GACGAACGCUGGCGGCGUGCUUAACACAUGCAAGUCGAACGGAAAGGCCCUGCUUUUGUGGGGUGCUCGAGUGGCGAACGGGUGAGUAACACGUGAGUAACCUGCCCUUGACUUUGGGAUAACUUCAGGAAACUGGGGCUAAUACCGGAUAGGAGCUCCUGCUGCAUGGUGGGGGUUGGAAAGUUUCGGCGGUUGGGGAUGGACUCGCGGCUUAUCAGCUUGUUGGUGGGGUAGUGGCUUACCAAGGCUUUGACGGGUAGCCGGCCUGAGAGGGUGACCGGCCACAUGGGGACUGAGAUACGGCACAGACUCCUACGGGAGGCAGCAGUGGGGAAUAUUGCACAAUGGGCGGAAGCCUGAUGCAGCAACGCCGCGUGCGGGAUGACGGCCUUCGGGUUGUAACCCGCUUUCGCCUGUGACGAAGCGUGAGUGACGGUAAUGGGUAAAGAAGCACCGGCUAACUACGUG
Molecule: ribosomal RNA, 468 nt
Filed under: uncultured bacterium
Lineage: Bacteria
Description: partial 16S ribosomal RNA
Rfam family: Bacterial small subunit ribosomal RNA
Source: RNAcentral